Molecule: ribosomal RNA, 492 nt
Filed under: uncultured bacterium
Lineage: Bacteria
Description: partial 16S ribosomal RNA
Rfam family: Bacterial small subunit ribosomal RNA
Source: RNAcentral
AGUGAACGCUGGCGGUAGGCCUAACACAUGCAAGUCGAACGGCAGCACCGUAAGAGCUUGCUCUUACGGGUGGCGAGUGGCGGACGGGUGAGGAAUACAUCGGAAUCUACUUUUUCGUGGGGGAUAACGUAGGGAAACUUACGCUAAUACCGCAUACGACCUACGGGUGAAAGCAGGGGAUAUUCGGACCUUGCGCGAUUGAAUGAGCCGAUGUCGGAUUAGCUAGUUGGGGGGGUAAGGGCCCACCAAGGCGACGAUCCGUUUCUGGUCUGAGAGGAUGGCCAGCGACACGGGAAGGGAGACACGGUCCAGGCUCCUACGGGAGGCAGCAGUGGGGAAUAUUGGACAAUGGGCGCAAGCCUGAUCCAGCCAUACCGCGUGGGAGAAGAAGGCCUUCGGGUCGUAAAGCCCUUUUGUUGGGAAAGAAAAGCAGCAGGUUAAUACCCCGCUGUUCUGACGGUACCCAAAGAAGAAGCACCGGCUAACUUCGUG